This is a non-coding RNA of Cicer arietinum (chickpea), 2603 nucleotides long. Lineage: Eukaryota; Viridiplantae; Streptophyta; Magnoliopsida; Fabales; Fabaceae. The record is from RefSeq and is a predicted model, not a curated record.
UGGAACCCUUAAACAAAAUACAAUGGUAAUGGGUUAAGGGUAAUAAAGAUGAGAAUGGCAGAGAAAAUUUCUUUUUGCACUGUUUGAAUCUGCUCGAUUGUUAACAUUGGGAGAGAAAGAUCAACGUUCAUCAUUUUGUGUUUCUUCCUUUUUUCACGGUGUGAAAUGGUAAUAAAAAUCAAAUCCAAAACCCUAACAUUUCGUCUUCCAUUACCCCUCCAAUCUGUUCAUUUUCACUAGAAGAAGAAAAAGUUGUGGUCCAAAUCACACUAAGGAAAGUCGUAUUGCUCUAAGGAAACAACUAAGACCCAAUCCUUUGCACGAUUGUAGGUGACUGUGAGUAUCAAUUUCUUUUCUUUUCUUUAUAUUUUGUACAUAAUAAAAUCAACCAUCAGUCCAUUUUCACUCUCCACAUAUUGGUUAAUAUUUAAAAUGAAUGGGUGGGGUUCAUUGUUGUUUCACGUGAGUUUUGAUUUUAUCUGCUUUUAUUAUAUGGUCUGCAUUUUUUUUAUCUGCUUUCAUUGUUGUUUCACUCUCCACAAACAUAACACUCUCUUACUCUCUGUCGAACACACUUAUAUACCAAUUUUUUUACUCUUCUCAUACCCAUCAAUUUUCUUGUUUUUGUUAAUUUAUGAUUUUGUAUUGAAUAUUAUCUUUGAUUUUUCAAUUGCACUUGAAUCUUAUUUUGGUUUGUGAAAUAUAAAUAAUUUUGGUCUUGUUGGAUUUGUUGAUAAAAACUGUAGAAGUGGUAGUUAUUGUCAUCUUAAUGAAGGAAUUAGUGUAAACUAAUUGCGAAAGUUACAUUUCAUUUAUCAUCUUAAUGAAGGAAUUAGUGCAAAUGAAUUGCAAAAGUUACAUUUCAUUUAUCAUGUUGAUUACUAUUUUUAUCAGCAACUAUUAUACAAAUAUUUUUCAUUUUAGUUCCUUAAGUUAUUUUAAGUUUCACUUUAGUGUCUUAAGUUUUGUUUAUUUUAUUUUGUUCACUUAAGUUAUAAACGAUAUACAUUUUGGUCCCUUAAGUUAUUGUUAUCUUGUGUUCGUCCAUUAAGUUAUAAACGUCAAACAUUUUGGUCUCUUAAAUUACAAAAAUUAGUCAUUUUGAUUCCUUAAGUUACAAUAUUAGACACUAUUAGAAAUUAUCUAAGUGUUAUAAUGUGUGUAAUAUAAGCGACCAAAGUGUUGAAUGUUUGUAACUUAAAGAACUAAAAUUGAAUGAAAAUAAUUUGAGGGACCAAAGUAUCUAAAGAUUGUAACUUAAGGGAAUAAAAUGAAACGAACAAAACUCAAAGGACUAAAAUGAAACCUAAAAAUAACAUAAACAUUACACCAUCACCAGCCCAAACUACAACACCACCCCAAAAUCCAACUCCAACUCCAACUCCAACUCCAACGCCUUCACCAUCCCAACAUCCAACUCCAACAACAUCACCAUCCCAAAAUCCAUCCUCAACACCAUCACCUAUUCUACCUCAAACUUCUGAAUAAAAUUUGUCACACACUCAAUCAACAAUCAUUGAAUCCGAGGAAGAUGAACAAGUUGAACAAGAAUGUCUUCAAGAAAUAGAGCCUUAUGGAAAUGAGUUUAAUCCAUCAACUGCUACACAUUUCCUUUCAAAUUCCCUUAAGAGCAAGUUUGAUUUGUUUUGUCCUACAUGGAGACAUGCAACAAGUGGUAUGCGAGAUUUAUGGUUUUCUGAAUUUAAGAAGUAUUGUAGAUGGGACUCUAAAUAUGAUGCAAGGAUUCGCCAAAUUUUUUAUAUUAAGGGAGAAGAGAGGCAAAAUUAUGCAAAAAAAUCCAGAAUACAAGCCAAAAUACAUUCCUACACCAAUAUGGAACAAUUAAUACAUCAUUGGGCAUCAGAUAAAAAGUUUAAGAAUUUAACUGUGACAAACAUCGCAAAUCAUAAUUCAAACAAAGGUAGCUCUAUACAUACAGGUGGUUCUAUAUCUAUGGAAUAGCAUGCGUGUAGGAUGGAAGAAGCCACAAGAGUCAAACCUACUAUGGAGGAAAUAUUUGCUAAAUGUCAUAAAAAAGGAUAAGUCUUGGGUUGAUAAUAUAGCUGAGAAAGCCUAUGAUGAUUUUAGAAAGAGAAAAACAGAGCUUUUGGAAGUAUCUUUGUCUCAAAAUGAAGAUGGAGAAGAAUUGUCAUGUGAAAUCCAGAAUAUGCCAAAAGAUUUGACUAUUUGGAAGGAAGUAGUUCCUAAAAGUAAAAUACAAAAAUUAUAUGGUUUAGGUUCUAUUGGUACAAAUGUCUCUUCAAAGUGUACUAGUGGUUCAUUCCCAAUUUCCUCUAAGGAAACAAACAUGAACAAGAGUUAGUAAAACGGAAAGAAAAGGUGAAAGAGCAAAAACUUAUUAAUCAAGACAAAAAACACAAAUUGGAGCAACGACAAAAGAGAAUUGAGUCAAAUGAAAGCAUGUUUGUUGCUUUAUUUGGAAAGUUGAAUAUGUCAUUGCCUCCAAACUUUGCUUAUGGGACACCUAUGCAUGAUGAACCAAAUGAAAUUGGUGAAACCUCUAAUAGAAAUAGUGGUGAUAAUUUUGGAUUUGAUUGAUAAAUUUGAUUUAGAUCUAUGAUAGUCUUUAAAUGACUUUAGUA